This 762-nucleotide ribosomal RNA is filed under the name uncultured Peptostreptococcus sp. RNAcentral describes it as "bacterial SSU rRNA". It matches the Rfam family "Bacterial small subunit ribosomal RNA", at positions 28 to 776 of the family's 1533-position model. The record is from RNAcentral. Lineage: Bacteria; Bacillati; Bacillota; Clostridia; Peptostreptococcales; Peptostreptococcaceae.
GAUGAACGCUGGCGGCGUGCCUAACACAUGCAAGUUGAGCGAGGGUUUGCUCAGUAUUGAAUAUUCUAAGUCUAGAAUGUUCAAUACUGAGCAAAACCAAGCGGCGGACGGGUGAGUAACGCGUGGGUAACCUGCCCUAUACACAUGGAUAACAUACUGAAAAGUUUACUAAUACAUGAUAAUAUAUAUUUGUGGCAUCACAGAUAUAUCAAAGUGUUAGCGGUAUAGGAUGGACCCGCGUCUGAUUAGCUAGUUGGUGAGAUAACUGCCCACCAAGGCGACGAUCAGUAGCCGACCUGAGAGGGUGAUCGGCCACAUUGGAACUGAGACACGGUCCAAACUCCUACGGGAGGCAGCAGUGGGGAAUAUUGCACAAUGGGCGAAAGCCUGAUGCAGCAACGCCGCGUGAACGAUGAAGGUCUUCGGAUCGUAAAGUUCUGUUGCAGGGGAAGAUAAUGACGGUACCCUGUGAGGAAGCCCCGGCUAACUACGUGCCAGCAGCCGCGGUAAUACGUAGGGGGCUAGCGUUAUCCGGAUUUACUGGGCGUAAAGGGUGCGUAGGUGGUCCUUCAAGUCGGUGGUUAAAGGCUACGGCUCAACCGUAGUAAGCCGCCGAAACUGGAGGACUUGAGUGCAGGAGAGGAAAGUGGAAUUCCCAGUGUAGCGGUGAAAUGCGUAGAUAUUGGGAGGAACACCAGUAGCGAAGGCGGCUUUCUGGACUGCAACUGACACUGAGGCACGAAAGCGUGGGUAGCAAACAGG